RNAcentral lists this microRNA (20 nucleotides) under Corchorus olitorius. Its description in RNAcentral is "bfl-miR-7". The record is from RNAcentral. Lineage: Eukaryota; Viridiplantae; Streptophyta; Magnoliopsida; Malvales; Malvaceae.
GGUGGGGGGUGGGGUUGUUC